Molecule: long non-coding RNA, 103 nt
Filed under: Ictidomys tridecemlineatus (thirteen-lined ground squirrel)
Lineage: Eukaryota; Metazoa; Chordata; Mammalia; Rodentia; Sciuridae
Description: lncRNA (ENSSTOG00000034497.1)
Source: RNAcentral
UUGGGGGAAGGAGGAAGAAGUGUGCCAUGGAUCCCCCCAUGAGGAAUUUGCCCAGGUCCACAGCCUCCCUGUCCAUCUGGCGAUGGAGAAGGCCCAGACCCCA